This 82-nucleotide transfer RNA is filed under the name Cellulomonas soli. RNAcentral describes it as "tRNA-Val". Lineage: Bacteria; Bacillati; Actinomycetota; Actinomycetes; Micrococcales; Cellulomonadaceae. The record is from RNAcentral.
GUACAUCUGGACGGCGCGGUACUCGCUCCCGCUGACGGUGGGAGUCCUCGCCGUCGCGGGGUUCGUGGCCCGGGACGCACGC